GAGAAAGGCAGCUUUGGAGAUCUGAAUCUUGACACGGCAUGCAACAACAUGCAACAAUCUAAUGGUAAAGCACUUGUCUUUCCUUUUUACCUGGACCUUAAUUUAUGUUUGGCUGCUGAGAAAAUAAGAGGAAGAGAAAAUGAAUUUCAUCUAGAAUCUUAUGUGUGCAUGUCUAUGUUUUAGGCUUUUAGUUUCUGUUUGGUUGCUGAGAAACAAAGAAGCUUUCCAAUCAGAAAAUCUGAAAAGGGAAAGUUUUUAGUCACAUAAACCACCUGAACUAAAUUGUGAACUUAUUUUUUUUUGUUCAUAUUAUUUUUCUGUUAAGAUUUAAUAAGAUCUCUUUCGAAUUUGACCAAGAACACCUGAAAAUUGCAGUAAAAAUCACUGCUCUGUUUAAUUUUGUUUCCAUAUCAAAAGGGUUUCAGAAUUUUCCUUAUUUGGUUUCUAAAAUUGGACAAUGUUUUGACAGGAGGAACACCUGAGAUGUUUCGUCAGAAAGCCCCACCCAUGAACUUCUUUCCAUUUGUGGAAAAUUCUCGGAACAUGCCAACGGCGGUUAGAGACUUCAAAUCCAUGGAUUUGUUUCCUCAACAAGCUGGUUUUGGUCCCUCUGCCCCCACUCCCAGAGAAGAGGUCCCCAUGACGGCUGAUUCUAGGUAAUUUUUUGAAAUUUACGGCGUUGUGGGGUUCCUAUGGUUAAAAAAUCUGUCGAUAUUGGAAGGCGAAAAUCGGAUAUCUGAAUUAUUGUAGCAACGUAAGAUGUUCUUCGGUUUACAUGUGAAAUCUUUGUUAGCUCGUUUUGAUUUGUUCAUGAUGUACCAGUGUGAAGAAAUCUGCCCCUGGAGAGCCUCAGAAGGCACAAAUGACCAUCUUUUAUGGUGGACAAGUAAUCGUGUUCAACGAUUUUCCUGCGGACAAGGCCAAGGAAGUCAUGCUCUUAGCAAGCAAGGAGAGUUCUCAGAGCCACACCGCUCCGGCUUCACCUCCGGCCAAGACUAACAACGCCUUUGCCUCUCAUUUGGGCAAGAGUCCCGUUAAUUCCAGCAGUUCAGUUCCUCCGAGCUCCAACAUGUUUCCUAACUUUGGCAAUCAAGCGAUUCAGGAGGGCGUCAAGCCAUCCCCUCGACCCGUUGUUUGUGGUAAUUUUCUUUCUGUGAUCAUCGGUGUCUCCAUAUCUUAAGUGGUCCUAUCAACAACACGUUUCUUAUCAAUGAUUUCCUUUUCCACUGCAGAUCUUCCGAUUGCAAGGAAAGCUUCGCUUCAUCGAUUCCUCGAGAAGAGAAAGGAUAGGUAGGCAUCCGAAACAGCUAUACCAUAAUUCAUGUUGGAGUAAUAUAUUUUUAAGAUCCAUUUGACUGAUCUGGUUCGCAAUUUCUUUCUGUUUUACAGGCUCAACACCCUAGCACCGUACCAAACGAGCAGCCCUGCAUCCAGCCCGGCGAAGCCAACCGAAAACAAGUCAUGGCUAGGGUUGGCUGCUCAGCAAACCCAAUGAUACGAGAAGCUGUGUUGUUGUAUGCAUCCUUAGGCUUUCUUAUGGUUUAAGCCCCUGCUAUGUUUUUCAAUUUUGGCGGGUUUAAUUUAAGCCCGGAGGUACCAUUAGCUCUAUAUUUGUCUGCCAUAUUAUAGAUCUAACUGUUGGUUAAUCUUAAUUAGUAUAUGUAAGCAUGUAAUUAAGCUUUUGAUGGAAGGAAUUCAAUUAUUAAUGAUAUAAUUUUGAACUUUUUUAAAAUAAAUCUACUUUUUCUUUUGUUGACAACGGUCCGCAUGUGUCAAGCCCGAAAGAACACUACUUCGUUGUUGAAACAAUAGUAGCAACUGCUGAAGUCCUAAUCUUGGGUGGACAUGUGUUCAAUUAUAGUUUUCAAUUUUAAUUAUUUGGGCACUGUGUCUAUCUGUGAUUGGAUUUGCAACAACUAUUGUAAAAUUAUAAUUAUAUCUACAACUAACAAUCGACAAUCGACACGAGUGGAUUAUGUUCACUCUUUGUUGGUGGAGGUGGAUAGAUGUGUACAUGGUUUGCUUUAAGCACGUUCAACAUUUUAUUUGAGUGGUCCUCAAAAUCUUGGUCUCUCAUCAAUGUAUGUGAUAUAUGUGGCCCCAUUGCUUGUGGUUUGUGUCCAAAGUAGGAAGACUAAGUGGUACCAUACAAUAUGAAUUCCUUGUUUGACCAAAUAAAGAAUAGCAUGUGGGUUCUAACGUGGGCAACUAUUAUGUGCAUUUUUUACUUUAUUAACAAGUCUCAUUGAUGAGAUGUGAACUAAAAAAACCGACCAUCGUACACUUGGGUAUUUUUCAUCUAAGUAGGUAGCGAGUGUCACUAAAUCAAAUAGUUAUGUGAACUUUGAGUGGCGUUAGAUCAAAUAGUUCACAUGAAAUUAUACUGUUUUUUCAGCAAUGUAAAAACUGAGUGUUGUAAACUCUGAUCUUUUUAGCAUAGUAGAUAUUAAGGGUCGUUAAACCUAUUAGUUAAAUGAAUUAUGGGUGUCGCUAUACCAAAUAGUUCAGAUAAAAUUAGAUUAUUUUCCAGCAAAGUAAAUAUUGGGUGUCACUGUACUAAAUAGUCAUGAGAAAAUAAGAAUUAUCGAAGAAAGUUGAGAUUUUACUAUAAAACAAAUUGUCAAUAUGGGGAGGAGCCUCACUACUUAUAAGCAUAUGGAAGGUCCCUCAUUUGUUCGAUGUGAGAUUUGUACUCUCAAUACGUCUCCUAAUGUGACAAAUUUUCAAGCCUAACACAUGGACAACGUUUGCAUGUUGGGUUUCACACAGGGAUAAAUCUGCUCUGAUACCAUAAAGAAAGUUGAGGUUCUACUGUAAAACCAAUUGGUAAUAUGGAAAGUUGUCUAAUUGCUUAUAAGCACACACAACCCCUCAUUUUCUCGAUGUGAGAUUUAUACUCUCAACACUAACAUCUUUUAUCUAUAACAAAUAUUGAAUGUCAUUAGACCAAAUAAUCAUGUUGUCAUGUUGAAUCGUGCAAUUUUAGAAAUGGAACAUGCAUAAUAUAGUUGAUAAAUCACACAAUGCUUUGACUUAAAGGGAAAUGAGUUUUGAUGCUAAUGGCUAAAUAUGUUGGAACAUUAACCACUACCACUCAACCACUCCUCUUAUCUUUAAUGGCAGCAUUAUCACUAGAUUUGGAUUGUGUUUCUCUUGUGGUUCACAUGAUUGACUUGUUCAAGUUGGACUAGAAAAUUAACACGCAACAAAAUCAAACAAGUCACAUUUUCUAGGUUUUAUUCCAUUUUUUGCUGCAAAAUAUUGUGUCCACAAGUUAGUAAACAUUGCUAAUUAAAAAAUGAGGUGAAGUGUCCAUUUAUGUUCAUGCUAAGGCUUUUUAGUGAAAUAAUUUAUAAGAUUGACAUAAUUCAUUUCUUUGAUCCUUGACAUUGAAAAUUGAUAGAAUGAUUCUUAAGUUUGUCCACCGUCAAUCACUUUGGUAGUCAUGUGAAAAUCUCGUUAAAUUGAGGCUAAUUUUUGUUCAAUCAAUCAACCCGUCCACUUGCUUUUCCAUUCGACAUAGAUUUUUUUAUGGACGAAGCAAAAUGAUUGAUUGUUAACAAACUUAGAAAUCACAUACAUUAAUUAUCAAUAUUAAGGACCAAAGUGAAGAGUUAUAAUAAAGAUCAUUUUGACUAAAAAAACCUAAUUCUAAUUAGGGCCUAAUUGUAAACAAUGACAGUGAUGCCAGAUUAAAUGUUGUGGAUUAGAUUAAACAAAUCACUUUGUUCAAACUUUUUUAAUAUCUCAUUUGGCUCAUGGAGUUGCUUUUUUUGUUUGACUCCAUUUAAAUAUGAGAAAAGCUGCCGAUUGGCAAUUAAAUCUAACGUUAAAGGUUUAUAAGCGAGAAAAUUACCACUUAAAAGUAACUCAUGAAGUGCACGGAAAGUAUGUGGUUUCCAUCUAACUUAUCUUAAAAACACGCGGUUUCCAACUUGAACACGAAAGCAUUCUGAAUAGUUUUUCUUGUCGACCAUAAUAAACAAAGAAUUGUUUUGGUUAGGCAAGGGGUGGCCUCUUUCGACUCUCCCUAAUACAACAAUUGUGUGGUAUAUUGUAUACAAAUACAACUAUAUGUAUGGACAGAUUCGUAACAUUAUUUUUUUAUAUGAUUUUGAUAUACGCUUUUGUGGAGUUUAUUCAUUUUAAUGAACAUAACAGUCUAUCUUUUAAAAUAUCAUUCGUAAAUCUUUUUUUUUUUAAAUUAGACAACUCUAAAACCAUUAAAACAUUCAUUUGUACUGAAGAAAAUAAGCGAAUAUAGUUCAACAAAUAAACUUUAACCUUUAGUCUAAUGUCAUAUGAUUUUAGAUUUUGGUAGACACAAUUUUUUAAGAAAAACCUAAACUAUAAGAUCAAUGAAUACAUUAUGAAAUGAGCUUUACAAAAGUAUUUUUAAACGUUUAUAAAUAAAAAAAUAGUGCAACGAGUCAGCUCAUAUAUAUAUUAAUAUGUUUUUUUAGUUGAGAUGAUAUGAUAUAUAGAAACAAAAAGUAAUAGUGGCAGACACUUGCAUUGCAAGGCACUCAGCAUCUUUAUUCAAACAAAGAGGUUUGAAAUUGUCACGUUGUUCACGACUAUGUCUUUUUUUCAACAUUAUUUAUUUAUUUAUCUUCCAAAAGUCAUACGAAUGCUGACUGCCGAGUGAAGAUAUUUAUAGGGUAUUUGCCAAUUUUUAUUAAUUGGGCAUCACAUGCAAAGUUCUUGGUGGUGGGUAGGUGGGGUCGCCUCUCUUUUUCGACUCAAUUUUAUUUUUAUUUUAUUGUGAUGUUUCCAUGAAUUUAAAUUUAUUUUUUAUUUUAUUGUGAUGGAUUUCAUGAAUUGAAGAAAUAUGUUCAAUAAUAUAGAGAGUCUGAUUUAUUUAUUUUAAAAAAGAAACAGUUGGUAGUUUUAUCAUGACAAUCUACCUUUUUAGGGGUAGAAAAACUCACAGAAGCAUUUCAUCCUCGUUAUAACCACUAUCUUGUAAGUCAACAGUACGAGGAAAGAACCCAAAACGUGUCACAUAGAAUAGGGACCUAAAAUUCAUCUCUAACUAAUAAGUCACCCCCUGGUACUUCACAUGAACAAUUAUUGAUAUAAAAUAGAUUUCACAUGCUUUUGUAGUUUUUUCUAAUACAAGCAAUAUUAUUGCUUCAAUUACAUAAGUAGAAGGGAAAGAGAAGUAAUUUAAAAAAAAAUAUUUAUUUUAAUCACCAUGACAAUUCAUCACUUGCUUUCGCAAUUUUUCUAACUCAUUUGCGUUCGGCAUUCGUAUUUAUCAAAAGGGAGAUGGAGAGGUUUUUGGGUGCCUUACAAAGUGGGUUUCAUCGCUCCUGCUUACGGGGCUUACUAAUUCUGAGCCCAAUAGUGCUAGGUAGGUGGUGUUGAGUUUGGAUUAUUUUGGCCUUUGCCCAUGAUAAAAAAUGAAUAAAUUAAACCUUGACAUAUUCUAACCCAUUAUUUUCAUUCCAACAGGAUCCUCUCCGGAUCCUUUUGGUAAGGAUCUUGAGGAUCCAUAAAUCGUAUUCAUUUAUCGUACAUUGUGCGGUUAAAUUUUAUCAGAUAUUAUUUGUAUUUAAUUUUAAAUAAAAAUAUUUAAAAGGAUUUCUGACCGCACGAUAUACGAUGAACGAAUAUGAUUCACAAAUUCCCGGAAUCCUCACAAAAAGGAUCCAUGUUCAUUUUCAUUUGCUACCAACCCUUAAAAGUAUGUUUACUUGGAAUGAGUGAAGCAAUAAACCCCAACAUGGUAUCAGAUCAACUAGAUCCCCUAAUUGAUUUGACUCGUAAAAUUUUCAAGUAUUGAAUUACGAGUUUUGAAGUGGAACUUACAUUGUUGAUUAUGUUCUGCAUGUGAAUUAGCACAAAAAAAGAUUGAGAUCCAGGAUAAUUCUAAUACUCAUCCGAAGGGCUUGAAUCAUCAACUUCUCAUUGAAGUGGACAAGAGUUGUAUAGAGCUACCAAAUCUCUCGUUUCUUGAGUUCAAAUCUUCUGCAUUUAUUUUGUGCGUGACCUCUCUGUGGCUUAUCAUUAAUUGACACGUGUCCAUAAACUUAACGAUCCUUAACUUUGUUGUCCAUAAACCUAACGAGUGUCGCUUUAUGGCUACACACAAAUUAGGUGCAGAAGAUUUGAACUCUCAAUGUCUCAGUGGUACCUAUAUUGGUGAAUUGAAUACUUUCUACGAAUUGAAGUCUAAUGGCAAUUGAAGUCACUACACUAUUUAAGGAGACCCCGAAUUAGGCCGGAUGAUAACUUGUUGGGCUUAAGUUGACUCUUGAGGAUUUAUGAUACAUCCUCCACCCAAUAGCAAACUUAUUGCUUUUGUGGCUCAAUCUAUGAAAUUGGUUGCUUUCUGGCCCAACAAGAAGGGACUAUUUUUGUUUUAUUGUUAUUUAAAAAAAUAUCAUUUUCUUGCAAUUUUUUACUUCGUUUAUAUUUCACAACCAAAAUAAUUUAUUUUCUUUGUUUAAAUGAUUCAUAUAACUUUUUACAACAAUAUUAUACUAUAAAAGGAGAUGAGGAUUAGAUCAGAUCAGGCCACACAAUAAGUCAAUCAUUAACUAAAUAUCGAACUUAAGAAUACAUCAUCCUCAUCCUUUUGAAUCCAACUUAAAGAGUUUUAUUUGUUAGUAAAGAGAAAUAUUACUAAUUUAUUAAGGGGAUAGUAAAUUUUUGAUUUAUUCUUAAAAAGUUUUAUUUAAAUUUUUUUAUAAGUAGUUGAUUUCUAUUAUAUGAUUUCGUCAUCCACAAGUUAGUUGAACAUAAAAAAUUAGCCUAACUACUUAUUUAUUUAGUUUUUAUAAAAAGGAGACCUACUUGCGGUUUUAUCAUGCCAAUCCAUUUUUUUGAGUGAUAAAAGACUCAUAAAAAUAUUUCAACUUCUCUGACCACCAUUAUUUGAUUCCUCGGCACCAGAAGUUUAACCUACGACUGUAUAAAUUAGGCAUUCAUAAUUAUGUUUCCAAUAUAAAUGACACAAUAAUCAAAUGGGAUAAAAUACCACAACAAAAA
This 6996-nucleotide long non-coding RNA is filed under the name Malus domestica (apple). Its description in RNAcentral is "long non-coding RNA (MDOM_LNC001430)". The record is from RNAcentral. Lineage: Eukaryota; Viridiplantae; Streptophyta; Magnoliopsida; Rosales; Rosaceae.